Molecule: ribosomal RNA, 253 nt
Filed under: uncultured bacterium
Lineage: Bacteria
Description: partial 16S ribosomal RNA
Rfam family: Bacterial small subunit ribosomal RNA
Source: RNAcentral
UACGUAGGGAGCAAGCGUUGUCCGGAAUCAUUGGGCGUAAAGCGCGCGUAGGUGGCCCCAUAAGUCCGCUGUGAAAGUCAAAGGCUCAACCUUUGAAAGCCGGUGGAUACUGUGGGACUAGAGUACGGAAGGGGCGAGUGGAAUUCCUGGUGUAGCGGUGGAAUGCGCAGAUAUCAGGAGGAACACCAAUAGCGAAGGCAGCUCGCUGUGACGUUACUGACACUGAGGCGCGAAAGCGUGGGGAGCGAACAGG